CUGCAUGAAGCUGGAAUCGCUAGUAAUCGCAGAUCAGAAUGCUGCGGUGAAUACGUUCCCGGGUCUUGUACACACCGCCCGUCACACCAUGGGAGUUGGAAAUGCCCGAAGUCAGUGACCGAACCGAAAGGAAGGAGCUGCCGAAGGUGGAGCCGAUGACUGGGGUGAAGUCGUAACAAGGUAUC
RNAcentral lists this ribosomal RNA (185 nucleotides) under uncultured bacterium. Its description in RNAcentral is "partial 16S ribosomal RNA". It matches the Rfam family "Bacterial small subunit ribosomal RNA", at positions 1316 to 1500 of the family's 1533-position model. The record is from RNAcentral.